Halichondria panicea is the source of this 2946-nucleotide RNA transcript. RefSeq lists it as uncharacterized. The transcript is spliced from 8 exons. Lineage: Eukaryota; Metazoa; Porifera; Demospongiae; Suberitida; Halichondriidae. The record is from RefSeq and is a predicted model, not a curated record.
CAGGGAUAUCCCUGAUUUUAGUGAUCAGUGAAUCAAAUCAAAAUAGCUGAAGGUGCUGAGCUCUUAUUAAAAUGGGUCUACCCAAUCUCUACCAUGCAAGAGUUCAUCUUGAUACAACACUUAAAGUAUGUAUAGAUUUAUCCCCUGUCUUCAUCACUUCACUUUCCGGCACACUCCGGCCCACCUUCCUCUUAUACGGCUGUGUUUCAGUUCUUAACAAUGGCCUCCUCUGUAAGCACUAAUUUAAACCAUUGUCCAUGGUUUUCAUCUCUGACUCGGGAUUGACCUUUCUCCACUGAAUCAUCGACCUCUCCAUUUAUACCGACUGACUCCGAUUGACUGAUUCUCCACACUCUGAUUCAUAGAGUUCUCCACUAACAGAUCACCACUCUAGAUAUCCACUCAGGAUUGUAGGGGUUGGUACAUCAGGUGCCUCACUUAGCUGUCGUCCCAUAAUGGAAACUUAUUCGUGAAAAUGGAGUUUUUUGUGUGGUUAAGAAAGGCAAACGAGGGAGCAAGGUGGUGCAUUCCAGCUACAAUCAUUGUCAAUUAGAAAGAUUCGGGAUUGAACUUUACAGCGAUUCUCAAGGCAGAUCAACAAACACAGCUUCCCAUGAAAUGCACCAGUACAUGCUAGUAGAACACAAACCUUCUGACAAGGUACUCGUCCAAGGUCAGCUACUCUGAGUUGGACAAGGACAAACUCGUACCAGUCGUCCCACCACCAGUUGCCAAAACACAAGGGCAGUACGUUCCGGUAGAGACCAAGCCAGCCAGCAGUGCUGUCAAGGUGAUGGACACCACCAAGGUCAUCUAUGUCGUGGUGGACAAGGACAAACUGAAACCAGUAGAUCCAAACAACCCACCAGCUCUUCCACCAUGACGCCCUGUCACCAACACUGGAGAGCUGCACACAGAGAAGACACUAGCUCUUCCACCACGACAAUGGCCCCCACCACCACCGCCCACCCACGAAACGCUCAUGGUUCUGCUACACCACUCCGUUGACAAGAAGUGGGAGAAUAUCGCCAAGGCACUGAAGGACAGAGUCUAUGAAAUCUUCACAAACAAUGAAAAUGAAUAUCUCCGACAACACGAACUGAUUGAGUAUUAUUUUAUAAACGUCCACUGUAGUCACUCUUGGGAGGAGAUGGUGCGAGUGCUGACGGAGAUAGGGGAGCAUGGUUUGGCUGAGAGAAUAAUGUAAAUUCUCCCCAAGUGGUACGAAUUGUAGCUUGCGUGCAGUUGUAAGAGUUCUGUUUUCGUUGUGUGGUAAACACGUGUCUAUACUACCACAACAAGCAUUCCAGUUUACACAAAAACAACGUACAGCUUACACAAGAAUAAAAUAAUAACUAAAUGCAUUGAUAUACUACCGUAUAGCCGGUAAUUUUCGGGGGGGGGGGGGGGGGGCAAAACAUUCGUGUUUUGAGCAAUAUUUAGUCAUUUCGUGGAUAAUAUUUUCUGCUUGCACUGCAGGUAAAGGUAGGCAAGGUCGCUUCAUUCAUGGGUAAAUAUUUGUAGUUUGAGCUCCAACCACGAAAACAACGAAUAUUUUGUCCCCUAGAAAUUACUAGCUAAGCCUGAUAACGGAGUGUUGUAUGAAAUAUACAUGCAGGCACAUGCCCUGAGGGCAAGCUGCCUGUAUAUUCAAUAACACAAGGAUUCUCAUGCUAUACAUGUAUAUAAUAUUAUGUGUUUUAUAUCACCCCUUAUGCCUGGACUACGUAACCGUGAAAUAAAAUAAAAUAGCACGGAGGGACUGUAUGACUUUUAUUACACACAUUUCUAUAAUUAUGAUGAUACAAUGCAUUGCAAGUAUCAUCUGCAUGGGUGAUGUAAUGCAGGUAAAGUAAAAUGCAAUGCAAGUAAAAUUAUCCCGAGGGCUAAUUAUUGUACCCGUGCCAUGCAAGCAAUAACUAAUACUAGCAGUAGGUCAAGAAGAGCUCCACCAUUGAAUUGAGCCAUUGCAUAAACGCUCGUUUAGUAAUUAAGUAUGUUUAUGGGAUUCUGUACUCUAAUACUGUACUUGUAGUCUGUAUUCUACCUAUACCGUAUGGCGCGAAAUUUUCAAGGCACUUAAUUUUCAUGGAAUUACCUAUCGCUCUAUACGUUAUGUCAAUGCACGUUAUGUCAAUGCACUUUGCAUGCGUCCGCUGUUAACAAUGUUUGUGGAGGACCCUUGAAAACAACGCGCUAUACGGUAUACAUGUAUAAAUUAUUACCCGAAGCCGUGCCGCGGCCAGCGGGUAUAGUAGUUCGUUGGUUUGUUUAUAACAGCUGAGCUUGUUACCUGGCUGCCAUAGUACUGCGUUUACAGCAUAGAUAGCCUCCACACAACAAGUCCUUAGUUUAAAUGGUGGCAGAUUUCGAUGUUAAAGGUUGUCGUAUAAAAGCAAGCAAAAGCUAAGAAGCUUAGUAGAACUUGCUCUACACGCGACCUUUAUUCGAGGUAGAGCUACACAUUUGCAGCUGAAGUGAUCCUUUACCGGUCUCUAUUCAAUGUAGCUCCUCUGACAUCUAUUUAUUCAUGUCAUUAACCGAGGUUAGCACUUCAGUGCUCUAGCACUUGAAGUCAAUCAGUACUAAUGUCUCUAACUAUACAACAUGUGCGCUAAAUUUGCCAUUGCGUGACUGUAUGGAGUGUACAGAAUUAUAAUACAUUGUUUGCUGUAUUCAUGCAUGCAGGUGGCGAGGUGCGAGGUAAGUUGUCUUCAGCUCAGCAGUAGUAUCAGUAGUAUAAGUGUUUGACUAAAUGUGUUAUUAACAAUGCAACGAAUGUGUCAAUGUCAAUAUUCCUUUAUUUAUGCCAUUUUCCUGCCAUUCCAUAAUUGUUAUUAACAAACAAACAAAAUACACCUAUAACCACUGCUAAAACUAAAAUUCUUUUUGUGAUUACUAACAUUAUUUUAUGUUAAUGAUAACGUUUAUGAUUGUUAUAUAAUA